RNAcentral lists this transfer RNA (62 nucleotides) under Symplanella nigricans. RNAcentral describes it as "tRNA-Asn". Lineage: Eukaryota; Metazoa; Arthropoda; Insecta; Hemiptera; Caliscelidae. The record is from RNAcentral.
UUAAAUGAAGCUAAAAAGAAGCAUUCCACUGUUAAUGGAAAAAUUGGUUAAUCCCUUUUAAA